Molecule: ribosomal RNA, 259 nt
Filed under: uncultured bacterium
Lineage: Bacteria
Description: partial 16S ribosomal RNA
Rfam family: Bacterial small subunit ribosomal RNA
Source: RNAcentral
CGAGUGGCGGACGGGUGAGUAAUGUCUGGGAAACUGCCCGGUGGAGGGGGAUAACUACUGGAAACGGUAGCUAAUACCGCAUAACGUCGCAGGACCAAAGAGGGGGACCUUCGGGCCUCUUGCCACCGGAUGUGCCCAGAUGGGAUUAGCUUGUUGGUGAGGUAACGGCUCACCAAGGCGACGAUCCCUAGCUGGUCUGAGAGGAUGACCAGCCACACUGGAACUGAGACACGGUCCAGACUCCUACGGAAGGCAGCAG